AGACUCGGCCCGGCCCUGCAUGGCCCAGGCGGGCGUAAAGAGCCUGCGGAGCUCCAGCCCAAAGAGCUGGCACCGUCCCGGAACGGCCCGCGCCGCGGGAGUGCUCCGAGCUGCGGCGCUGGGCUCUGGUGGGCGCCUCGCAGUCCCUGAGGCUGUCUGUUCACCUGGAUGCACCAGGCCUUCACCUGCCGUUUCCCUGCGAUCCCACAGAAUCUCAGGAGUUCAGUAAAUGCCAAGGGUUUUAGGAGCAUUUGUCGGUGUGACUCUUCAGAUGCUUGCACCAAGUCUUCGUUUCUUAGUUAAAGGCCUAGUAAGUAUAGGGAGCUUUCCCUGUACUUGGCUUCAGAUUUCGGAAAUGGAGAAAACAUGCACAAGAUGAUGGGAACUUUCACAACUGUCUUGAUUCAUUGUGACCACACUAGUGUUUCCAAACCGUACGUGAAAGCUUUACCCUUUGUCCUUUUGGUGGUGGUUGGUUGUUUCUGUGUUUUAUUACCGCUUCCUAAAUUCUAAGGAAAAAAUUCACAUCUUAGUGAUAGAUGGAAAUUGCUUAAAUAUCAGAAAGGAUCCAGAUCAAGCACUUUUCCAGUCAUGCUGUAAUACAAGGGUUAUAUAAAGAUAAUUUAUGUCUUUAGUAAAGGAAAAAGUAGGACACUGGCUAAGGCUGCCUCCCUCUCGUACAUUUCAACAUCGGAAACGGUCCUACCACAAAGCAAACUAAGCCUAAUGUAAUUAGACUGCAUCCCCAAAAUGUCACAGUGAAUUGACAAAGGCAAAAUAUUUGAGACAAGUUAUACAAGCAAACAUCAAAAAGAAGGCAGAAGACCUCACUUUCAGCUAAAGACCUUGCUAAUUCUAGAGCUGCCACCGUCUAAAUACUUAGCACCUACCCUGUGCCUAACCCUGUGAUGAGUGCUGAGAAGAGAGUGAUAGAGUGGAGACUGUAAAAGUCAAACAAGGCUAGGUAAGGAAGGCUUUGGGCAUCCAGCGGAAGAACUUGACUUGAGGAAUGAAGGCUGAACCAGGAUUCUAACCUAGAUGAGAAGACAGUGAAAAUAAAGGGAGACUUCUCUAUACAUACAGGAAUUUGACAACAGUUUGUGCCGCUUAUGGAUUUAAAGAACUGGCACCUUGAAUGGGAUUCUGAAUAGAAUUCGUACAGAUGGAAUGUAAAUAUCACCCUGAACUGAAUUGGCCCUCAUCCUGUCCAGCCAAUCUGGAAAUGUCUGGUGUGUCUCCUGGGAGCACUCCCCAAAGAACCUUCUACACACAGUUCUCCAACUCAAAGUCUGUUUUCAGGGAAUCCAAUUCAAGACAGGGAUAGUUGGAAGACACAACCGUUCCAUGGACUUUGAUGUUCUUGAUAUUCAUUCUUGGUAUUGGCAUCAUGAAUUGUGACACUAGGAGGCAUCUCCAAGUGACUUUGAAAUGAGAAGACAGGAACAAAGAGGUGUCAUACAUCCCUCACAGAUGGUCAGAAAUAUCUAAAGAGUUUUUGCCAAAGAGAUAGGGUCCUGAAUGGGCAGCAGGGUUAACAGAAAAAUGUGUAGUUAUUAAUGUUAAUGAGACAUCCUUUGCUACAAGAUGAUGGUGAGGUCUCAAGGAGAUCUAGGUUAUAUUUAUAAGGGAUCACUCCAAUUACUACAUGUGUGUCUCUUCUAAAAUUAGACUUUAUUGUGCUCUAUUAAAAUAGCUUCAUCUUUAGAAGAGAGUUUCUCAAAAUGUGAUUUGGGGACCACCUGCAUCAGGAACACUUGAGAAUUUGUUAAAGUUGCAGAUUCUAGAGCCCCAUCUCAUGCUUACUGAACCAGAAUCUCUGGGAAUCUGCAUGUUUAUUUAACAAGUUUUUCAAAGCUUGCAUGUUUAGCCAGCUUUUAAAGUAAAAGUUUUCAACUGCUUUAGUGGGUAAAGGGUUUCUUUUGCCGAUGAUGAAAAUCUUCUGGAAUUAGAUAGAGGUGAUGGCUUCACAACAUUGUGAAUAUAUUAAAAACCACUGAAAUGA
RNAcentral lists this non-coding RNA (2002 nucleotides) under Pongo abelii (Sumatran orangutan). Lineage: Eukaryota; Metazoa; Chordata; Mammalia; Primates; Hominidae. The record is from RNAcentral.